This is a non-coding RNA of Drosophila melanogaster (fruit fly), 616 nucleotides long. Lineage: Eukaryota; Metazoa; Arthropoda; Insecta; Diptera; Drosophilidae. The record is from Ensembl.
AAAAUAUUGGGACUAUGGGCAUGGGAACGAUGCUUUUGAACAAAUAUUUAACAUAGUUAAAGUGGAGUUUUGUUUUCUGUUUGGGAAAUGGGUGAAAAGAAAAAAGGGCGAAAAAAAAAGCGAAAAGCGAAGAGUUCGUGUGUAACAUUUACCUUUUUGCCAUCCAGCUCGUGUGUGCCUUGGAUUUGGAAGGAGAUGUAAACAGGAGACGGUUAGCGAGAAGUUCUGCAAAUAUUUACCCAAGCCAGGAGCCAAGUAACUGAACCUGAACCAGCCCCAGCCCGAGAAUCAGAAAAACAGAAAGAGACACAGGAGCCACGGCCAAAGUUGAACCUGCCAUCGUCAGUUUAGCACGUGCGCCAAUUAGGCGCUCAAAUUACAUCAAAAUAUUGCCAGGAAGGAGCGGCUCACGGGGGAGGGGCUGCAAAUGAGCAGUCUAGGGCACGAUGCCCCAUACUCCAUCUACAAAUGCUCCUUUUUCGAACUGUUCGAAGGCAGACGCUUACAAGCCAUUACGUAAAGAGCGCCGUCUCUUUCCGUCUCUUUCUGUUUCUUUCGUCCGUGUUGUGAUAAACUUAUUCUUGUUAAAUAUUUAAUUAAAAUGCUUAUUAUCUCG